CCCCAAAUCGACCAUCCCUCCAACAACCUUACCACCGCCUUUCCAAACCCUAGAUCUGGGCAGUCCGUUCUUCCCCUUCCCCGUGCGCCGCCGCCACUACAUCUCUUCCUCUCCCUCUCCGAUCCACACACGCCCUGCUACGGCCUCACCUCGCUGGCCUGCCUUUGGAUGGAACCGUCCUGGCCUAGUCCUUGCCAGAUCUGGCCGCACCGGUCGUCGGUGCUGCUGGAUAUGGCCGCUCCGGGCCUCAUCACCACCACCCCAAGUGUGCACCUCUCCACCGCCACUUCCCCGUCGUCUUCACAUCCGCCUCGCCCAGUUCCAGAGUAGUCGCGUGUCUCCCGAGGAGCCCGACCCCGGCGGCCUCUCCAUGGACUCCCUCCACCAUAGCUAAGGCAGCGCCACUGCAUCCAGAACACGGUUCAACCUCCAGAACGCUUGUGGCAAGCACCAGAUCGUGAGUUCAAGUAGGUCAACCGCGAGUUGCAUCUACAUCGACAGGUUCUCUUCUUCUUUGUGGGCCUGCACCUUCCACGUGGGCUGUGGAGGACGGAUGGCGCUGUGCUGUUCGGGCUGCAACAUGACCGGCAGCGGUUCUACGUCCCCUCUCAGAGCAGCUCUUUCAUGGUUGUCUGCAUAGGCCUCGUGGCACCAUUGUCUAGGGCUUGUUUGCUGUUGCCCACUUGUACCUCAUGGAAGCCUCAAGCGUGGAAGCCAGCGCACAUAUACACACUCAUUCAGGCUCAGGCAUGAACCAAGGAAAAGUUCACAGCAGAAAACUGAAGCUCUAGCACGUGUGCCAGCCGAUGAAGCUCGCCUUAACCCAUCGCUCAUUGCUAAGGUACCGGCACAUGCUACUCUAUCUGUUGUAUGUUGAGCCAGAAUGUAUGCUACUCUAUCUGUUGUAUGUUGAGCCAGAAUGUAUUUGCCUGACUGAUCAUAAUCCUUGUCUGGUAGGAAACUUAUGGUAUCCAGUACAAAGAUGCCAAAGUUUCGAUAUAAAUUUUGCUAAUUUAUAAUGGUGGCUUCAAAUUAUAGUGAACUAUAUAGGCGGUAGGCGCUCACAUCCUAUUGGCCUUCGGUGACAUUUUGAGCUCUUAUCUGCUGUCUUUAAUUAUUAGUGUGUACCAUCCAACAAAAUUAGCUCUAGUGCUUGGUGUGAAUUUUUUAUGGUUAUUUAGUUUAUUUCAUUGUACAAUGCAUGGUGCUAUGUUUCAUAAGUAUACACAUGCUAUGCUUGGCAUGCAGUUUUGGUGGAAAAAGGAAGCAGAUCAUGCUUACAAAUUGUUUGACCUUGCAUUUUAUUGCUUACUGUUUACUAUACAUUAGUAUUUGUACUUGGAAGUGUCAAAAAUCUGUCAUUAUAAUCAGCUGUAGUAAUAUUGCUAUAGAUAUACACACACUGAAAGUCUGAAAGAUUUCUUGUAAAAGUACAUGUCAGCUGCCAUAUCCUUUCCUAUGUCCUGUUCAGUUUUUUUAAUCUUCUCUUGGUUUGAUGUUAUGAUUUUUGUUACAUAGUUCAUAGAUGUUGCUGGUUUGUACUUUGAAAAUAUUUAAAGUUAUUUUUUUUCUCUUGUUCAAAAUGUUCUGUAUCAAGCUCGUAAGUUUAAGGAUGAGAUUGUUGAAUGCUACAAAAUUUCAUACCUUUGAUUUCAUAAUUCUAUAAAUUCAACCAUUCUAAACUAAACCAACCAGAUCAUAUCCUUAAUUAAUGGGUUUGUAGGUUAAGGGUGGAUACUCAGAAGUAUUUCGGUUGUGUAAGUUCUCGACAUGUUAAUUCGUUCUAGAGUCUCCCUUUUCCUUUCUUUUUACAAUUGUCAUGAUUUUAUAUGGCCUUAGUCAAUCUGUUGUGUCUGGUCUGAUUUGUUAGAUAACUACAAUGUGUGAUGAAUUCUUCAAUUGAUUAGGAAGGCUAGAUGUGUAAAACUUUGUUUAUGGAGCUUGCACAUGAGCAUAUCCAUUUCACCAAAUGAAGAUAAAAGACUCAUGUUCUUGAUGUUUGAACUGGGGAUCCCAUGGAAUUUUUUUUCUGUAACAUGGUUCUCAUCUCUGAACAUGCACACAUGUUGUUUUCAUGUUAAGAUAUUUUUAAAACAAAAUACAGUAACUGACAUCUGUUUCAUUAGCUUUUUAUACUAAUGUUUUACUUCUCUGAACUAAAUUCUUGCAAAUCACAUUGAUCUAGUUGCAGGUCUUCCAUAUACAUCCACAAUCAUGUGGAGGUGUGGUUAAGCUGUGAUCUUUAAAGCAUUGCAAGUAUGGUAACUCUUUGAAUGUUGUUGUUUUACAAGAUGUUGGCAAGUUUGGUAUUUACUAUUUUGAAGACAUCGCAGGAAGUUAUUCAACAAACGGUUGCGACCAAGCAAUUUGUCUUCCUGGACAUGGCUCCUUCUGUGCAUCAAAGCUCGAACCAUUUGUCUAGCUUAGUUUGAAGAAAAAUAAAAUCUUAGUCUUAUGUAAAUUCUGUUUAUUGAUGUAGCUAGAUGCAACUCUACGCACAUAUGUGUUUUGUCAGUUCUGUUUAUUGAUGUAGCUGGAUGUUACUGAACGCAUGUAGGUCUUGUGUAAAUUCUGUUUAUUGAUGUAGCUGGAUGCUACUGAACGCUUGAAUGAAUGUUGAAGUAUUGAUAUAUAGUCAUUAUGUGUAUGAGAUUGAA
This is a long non-coding RNA of Triticum dicoccoides, 2657 nucleotides long. RefSeq lists it as uncharacterized. NCBI's taxonomy places the organism in Eukaryota, Viridiplantae, Streptophyta, Magnoliopsida, Poales, Poaceae. The record is from RefSeq and is a predicted model, not a curated record. The transcript is spliced from 2 exons.